GUUUCACAUUGCCCCCUUUCCUGACCUAAGGAAAGCUUUCAACGAUAGCUCAUCUUGGCUGGUCUAUUUUGGGACACAGAUUUACUGCUCUUUCCGUCACUUGGACAGAUGCUAACCCAGAGUCUGGAGACUAUAAGGAAUUAGAUGACAGCAAUCAGAUUUGUAUUAAAUCCCUGCCAGAUAGAGAAGCUGCUCAUCUGGAUCCAGUCCAAUUCCAGGCCACUUUCCUCUACAAACAUCCACCUGGGAGGAUGUGUGUUGUGACCACCUCCUUCGAAGGGAUGGAGCACGAAACAGGUUUUUCCACCAGCGGCUCCAACAUCUUGGAAUACUCUUCUCUCUGAUGGCAGGAGGCCCUGCCCUGCCAUCUCCUUGGAAAAAGGAGGAAGCUGUCUCUUCUCCAGGGUCUGGAGGAAGAACAGGCAGAACUGGGAAGAAAUUCAGAGGAGAUGCAAGCCGUUCCAGAAAAGAGGUCUGCCUGGAAUAAAUUGGAGGAUUCGUUGAUACAGCAUUUAUUGGCAGAGAUCUGGAGAUGUCUCCAGAUGUCUAUUUUGUAUCAUGGUGAACUGAACACGGUAGUCCCAGUCUGAUCUCAUCAGUGCAGUAUGAAGAGGUACUAACACUUCUCGUGAUCUUAACGCUCUCCCUCUGUUGAGGCAGCCUAGCUUUUUUGCAUUGGCUUUUUUGGCAGCUGCAACACACCGCUGGCUCAAACUUCAGUGAUUGUCCACUGGGACUCCUAGAUCUCUUUCACAGUUAUUAUUGCUGAGCCACUACUGUUGAGCUAUUCUAAACUUUUGCAUGUGGUUUUUCCUGCCUAUGUAUCAAACCUUCCUUUUCUCACCAAUGAAUUGCAUUUUGUUGCACAUUCAAGUC
This is a long non-coding RNA of Pantherophis guttatus, 876 nucleotides long. RefSeq lists it as uncharacterized. NCBI's taxonomy places the organism in Eukaryota, Metazoa, Chordata, Lepidosauria, Squamata, Colubridae. The record is from RefSeq and is a predicted model, not a curated record.